GGAUAAUCGGGAGAAAUCCCGUCUAAUACCGCGUAAUGCCGCGGGGCUGCAUGGCCCUGCGGCCAAAGGGAGCGAUUCCGGCAACGGAUGGGCAUGCGUGACAUUAGCUAGUUGGCGGGGCAACGGCCCACCAAGGCGACGAUGUCUAGGGGUUCUGAGAGGAAGGUCCCCCACACUGGUACUGAGACACGGACCAGACUCCUACGGGAGGCAGCAGUGAGGAAUAUUGGUCAAUGGGCGCGAGCCUGAACCAGCCAAGUCGCGUGAGGGAUGACGGCCCUACGGGUUGUAAACCUCUUUUGUCGGGGAGCAAAUUCCGCCACGUGUGGCGGAGUCGAGAGUACCCGAAGAAAAAGCAUCGGCUAACUCCGUGCCAGCAGCCGCGGUAAUACGGAGGAUGCGAGCGUUAUCCGGAUUUAUUGGGUUUAAAGGGUGCGUAGGCGGACUGUCAAGUCAGCGGUAAAAUACGGGGGCUCAACCUCCGCCCGCCGUUGAAACUGACGGUCUUGAGUGGGCGAGAAGUAUGCGGAAUGCGUGGUGUAGCGGUGAAAUGCAUAGAUAUCACGCAGAACUCCGAUUGCGAAGGCAGCAUACCGGCGCCCGACUGACGCUGAAGCACGAAAGCGUGGGUAUCGAACAGGAUUAGAUACCCUGGUAGUCCACGCAGUAAACG
RNAcentral lists this ribosomal RNA (673 nucleotides) under uncultured bacterium. Its description in RNAcentral is "bacterial SSU rRNA". It matches the Rfam family "Bacterial small subunit ribosomal RNA", at positions 141 to 808 of the family's 1533-position model. The record is from RNAcentral.